This 127-nucleotide small RNA is filed under the name Marmota monax (woodchuck). The record is from RNAcentral. Lineage: Eukaryota; Metazoa; Chordata; Mammalia; Rodentia; Sciuridae.
GACGGGUGCUGUGGCUCACGCCUGUGAUCCCAGCAGCUCGGGAGGCUGAGGCAGGAGGAUCUCGAGUUCAAAGCCAGCCUCAGCAACUUAGAGAGGCCCUGAGCAACUCAGUGAGACCCUGUCUCUA